GACGAACGCUGGCGGCGUGCUUAACACAUGCAAGUCGAACGGGAGUAUUGAAGAAGCUUGCUUUAGAGAUACUUUAGUGGCGGACGGGUGAGUAACGCGUGAGGAGCUGUCCUAUGCAGGGGGACAACAGCUGGAAACGGCUGCUAAUACCCCAUAAGCCGAGAGGUAAAAGGAUCAAUCCGGCAGAGGAGGUACUCGCGUCCUAUCAGCUAGUAGGUGAGGUAACGGCUCACCUAGGCGAAGACGGGUAGCCGGCCUGAGAGGGCGAACGGCCACACUGGAACUGAGAUACGGUCCAGACUCCUACGGGAGGCAGCAGUGAGGAAUAUUGCGCAAUGGGGGCAACCCUGACGCAGCAACGCCGCGUGAGUGAGGAAGGUUUUCGGACUGUAAAGCUCUGUCGAGCGGGAAGAAGUGUACCAUGGCUAAUAUCCAUGAUACUUGACGGUACCGCUAAAGGAAGCACCGGCUAACUCCGUGCCAGCAGCCGCGGU
Molecule: ribosomal RNA, 494 nt
Filed under: uncultured bacterium
Lineage: Bacteria
Description: bacterial SSU rRNA
Rfam family: Bacterial small subunit ribosomal RNA
Source: RNAcentral